CGGGGCGUAGCGCAGUUUGGCUAGCGCGCCACGUUCGGGACGUGGAGGCCCUGGGUUCGAAUCCCAGCGCCCCGA
This 75-nucleotide transfer RNA is filed under the name Candidatus Omnitrophus magneticus. It matches the Rfam family "tRNA". From Rfam's summary of the family: Transfer RNA (tRNA) molecules are approximately 80 nucleotides in length. Their secondary structure includes four short double-helical elements and three loops (D, anti-codon, and T loops). Lineage: Bacteria; Pseudomonadati; Candidatus Omnitrophota. The record is from Rfam by way of RNAcentral.